This 344-nucleotide ribosomal RNA is filed under the name uncultured bacterium. Its description in RNAcentral is "bacterial SSU rRNA". It matches the Rfam family "Bacterial small subunit ribosomal RNA", at positions 8 to 334 of the family's 1533-position model. The record is from RNAcentral.
AGGGUUUGAUUAUGGCUCAGGAUGAACGCUGGCGGCGUGCUUAACACAUGCAAGUCGAGCGAAGCACUUUUGCGGAUUUCUUCGGAUUGAAGCAAUUGUGACUGAGCGGCGGACGGGUGAGUAACGCGUGGAUAACUUGCCUCACACAGGGGGAUAACAGUUAGAAAUGACUGCUAAUACCGCAUAAGCGCACGGUACCGCAUGGUACAGUGUGAAAAACUCCGGUGGUGUGAGAUGGAUCCGCGUCUGAUUAGGUAGUUGGUGAGGUAACGGCCCACCAAGCCGACGAUCAGUAGCCGACCUGAGAGGGUGACCGGCCACAUUGGGACUGAGACACGGCCCAA